This 21-nucleotide microRNA is filed under the name Octopus vulgaris (common octopus). Its description in RNAcentral is "Ovu-Mir-12534_3p (mature (guide))". Lineage: Eukaryota; Metazoa; Mollusca; Cephalopoda; Octopoda; Octopodidae. The record is from RNAcentral. RNAcentral also lists the same sequence under 1 other name.
ACCGCGAUCUGCUUUCGGUGA